UGCACCGAAGCUGCGGCAGCGACACUGUGUGUUGUUGGGUAGGGGAGCGUUCUGUAAGCCUGUGAAGGUGUGUCGUGAGGCAUGCUGGAGGUAUCAGAAGUGCGAAUGCUGACAUAAGUAACGAUAAAGCGGGUGAAAAGCCCGCUCGCCGGAAGACCAAGGGUUCCUGUCCAACGUUAAUCGGGGCAGGGUGAGUCGACCCCUAAGGCGAGGCCGAAAGGCGUAGUCGAUGGGAAACGGGUUAAUAUUCCCGUACUUGGUGUUACUGCGAAGGGGGGACGGAGAAGGCUAUGUUGGCCGGGCGACGGUUGUCCCGGUUUAAGCGUGUAGGUGUGUGUUCCAGGUAAAUCCGGUUCACUUUAACACUGAGGCGUGACGACGAGGCACUACGGUGCUGAAGCAACAAAUGCCCUGCUUCCAGGAAAAGCCUCUAAGCAUCAGGUAACAUCAAAUCGUACCCCAAACCGACACAGGUGGUCAGGUAGAGAAUACCAAGGCGCUUGAGAGAACUCGGGUGAAGGAACUAGGCAAAAUGGUGCCGUAACUUCGGGAGAAGGCACGCUGACACGUAGGUGAAGUGAUUUACUCAUGGAGCUGAAGUCAGUCGAAGAUACCAGCUGGCUGCAACUGUUUAUUAAAAACACAGCACUGUGCAAACACGAAAGUGGACGUAUACGGUGUGACGCCUGCCCGGUGCCGGAAGGUUAAUUGAUGGGGUCAGCGCAAGCGAAGCUCCUGAUCGAAGCCCCGGUAAACGGCGGCCGUAACUAUAACGGUCCUAAGGUAGCGAAAUUCCUUGUCGGGUAAGUUCCGACCUGCACGAAUGGCGUAAUGAUGGCCAGGCUGUCUCCACCCGAGACUCAGUGAAAUUGAACUCGCUGUGAAGAUGCAGUGUACCCGCGGCAAGACGGAAAGACCCCGUGAACCUUUACUAUAGCUUGACACUGAACAUUGAGCCUUGAUGUGUAGGAUAGGUGGGAGGCUUUGAAGUGUGGACGCCAGUCUGCAUGGAGCCGACCUUGAAAUACCACCCUUUAAUGUUUGAUGUUCUAACGUGGACCCGUUACCCGGGUUGCGGACAGUGUCUGGUGGGUAGUUUGACUGGGGCGGUCUCCUCCUAAAGAGUAACGGAGGAGCACGAAGGUUGGCU
This 1150-nucleotide ribosomal RNA is filed under the name Salmonella enterica. RNAcentral describes it as "partial 23S ribosomal RNA". It matches the Rfam family "Bacterial large subunit ribosomal RNA", at positions 1190 to 2322 of the family's 2925-position model. Lineage: Bacteria; Pseudomonadati; Pseudomonadota; Gammaproteobacteria; Enterobacterales; Enterobacteriaceae. The record is from RNAcentral. RNAcentral also lists the same sequence under 1 other name.